RNAcentral lists this ribosomal RNA (264 nucleotides) under uncultured bacterium. RNAcentral's name for it is "partial 16S ribosomal RNA". The record is from RNAcentral.
CUGCUGCCUCCCGUAGGAGUUUGGGCCGUGUCUCAGUCCCAAUGUGGCCGUCCACCCUCUCAGGCCGGCUACUGAUCGUCGCCUUGGUGGGCCGUUACCCCGCCAACAAGCUAAUCAGACGCGGGUCCAUCUUAUACCACCGGAGUUUUUCACACUGGGCCAUGCAGCCCCGUGCGCUUAUGCGGUAUUAGCACCUAUUUCUAAGUGUUAUCCCCCUGUAUAAGGCAGGUUACCCACGCGUUACUCACCCGUCCGCCACUAAGA